CAGGAUGAACGCUAGCUACAGGCUUAACACAUGCAAGUCGAGGGUAGCAGGGUAGCAAUACCGCUGACGACCGGCGCACGGGUGAGUAACACGUAUCCAACCUUCCCAUAACUCAGGGAUAGCCUUUCGAAAGAAAGAUUAAUACCUGAUAGUACUUUUUCAAGGCAUCUUGAGAAAGUUAAAGAUUUAUUGGUUAUGGAUGGGGAUGCGUUCCAUUAGAUAGUUGGUGAGGUAACGGCUCACCAAGUCUUCGAUGGAUAGGGGUUCUGAGAGGAAGGUCCCCCACAUUGGUACUGAGACACGGACCAAACUCCUACGGGAGGCAGCAGUGAGGAAUAUUGGUCAAUGGGCGAGAGCCUGAACCAGCCAAGUAGCGUGAAGGAUGAAGGUCCUAUGGAUUGUAAACUUCUUUUAUAGUAGAAUAAAGUGAUCCACGUGUGGAUUUUUGUAUGUAUACUAUGAAUAAGGAUCGGCUAACUCCGUGCCAGCAGCCGC
This 495-nucleotide ribosomal RNA is filed under the name uncultured bacterium. RNAcentral describes it as "bacterial SSU rRNA". It matches the Rfam family "Bacterial small subunit ribosomal RNA", at positions 25 to 518 of the family's 1533-position model. The record is from RNAcentral.